RNAcentral lists this ribosomal RNA (440 nucleotides) under uncultured bacterium. RNAcentral describes it as "partial 16S ribosomal RNA". It matches the Rfam family "Bacterial small subunit ribosomal RNA", at positions 338 to 795 of the family's 1533-position model. The record is from RNAcentral.
CCUACGGGAGGCUGCAGUGGGGAAUAUUGCACAAUGGGGGAAACCCUGAUGCAGCGACGCCGCGUGAGUGAUGAAGUAAUUCGUUACGUAACACUCUAUCAGCAGGGAAGAAAAUGACGGUACCUGAGUAAGAAGCCCCGUCUAACUACGUGCCAGCAGCCGCGGGAAUACGUAGGCGGCAAGCGUUAUCCGGAUUUACUGGGUGUUAUGGGAGCGUAGACGGUGCGCCAAGUCUGGAGUGAAAUGCCGCAGCUUAACUGCGGAACUGCUUUGGAAACUGGCGAACUAGAGUGCGGGAGGGGUAAGCGGAAUGCCUGGUGUAGCGGUGAAAUGCGUAGAUAUUAGGAGGAACACCGGUGGCGAAGGCGGCUUACUGGACCGUAACUGACGUUGAGGCUCGAAAGCGUGGGGAGCAAACAGGAUUAGAUACCCUUGUAGUC